AGGACGAACGCUGGCGGCGUGCUUAACACAUGCAAGUGGAGCGACGAACCAGGGCUUGCCCUGGGGCAGAGCCGCGAACGGGUGAGUAUCACGUGGGUAACGUACCCCGAUGACUGGGACAACCCGGGGGAAACCCGGGCUAAUACCGGAUGUGCCCCCUCACAUCAGUGAGGUGUGUAAAGGAGCUUCGGCCUCCGCAUCGGGAUCGGCCUACGGCCCAUUAGCUUGUUGGUGUGGUAACGGCUCACAAGGCUGCGAUGGGUAGCUGGUCUGAGAGGACGAUCGAGCCACACGUGGGACUGAGACGACGGCCCAGACUCCGUACGGGAGGCAGCAGGUGGGAAUUCUGCGCAAGUCGCGACGAAAGGCGUGACGCGAGACGAACCGCCGGCGGUAGGGGGGAAGGAACGG
RNAcentral lists this ribosomal RNA (411 nucleotides) under uncultured soil bacterium. Its description in RNAcentral is "bacterial SSU rRNA". It matches the Rfam family "Bacterial small subunit ribosomal RNA", at positions 26 to 419 of the family's 1533-position model. The record is from RNAcentral.